CGGGGCCUAGGCCGGAUGUUAUCUGGGCAGGCCUAGGAGAGGGCCGUGGAAUUAAGUUAAAAUCUCUAUUCGGGAGAGGGCCGGUCGCCCGGCUAUGGAGACUUAGCAUGGAGGGAUGAUUAGAAGCUGGACAAGAGGACCUAAAGGGUACGGCAGAGAGUGGAGUCUGUUGUGAUGGGAGAUUCCUUCAGCUCUGGAUCCGAAUCCCAAAUCAGCCUCUCAGGCAGUGCGUGAGAUCAAGAAGGUUGUCUGUGAGCCCGGGUCCUCAUCCUGGGGGUCCAGGAUGGAGAGGCAAUUGAAGAUGAGUCUGGGAUUGAGGGCGGAGCCAGAUUAGCAAUGGGGACGGACGUGAUGAAGCAGUUGCCCAGAAGCUGACCUGCCCACUGGUCCUUCUUUGUGCCACACCAGAGAAAGCCGUUCCAGCAGGAACAGCCUCACGCCACUCAAGCUGAAAGCACCGACCAGCAACUCCGACGCCACCCGCUCCACCGGCAGCGCCCCAAGUGUGCCAGCCCAGCAGCCAAGAUUCACCUCGUUCUUCAGUCAGAGUUCCAAGAUUCUGGGUCCUUCACCCAAACCCUCCUCCCUCAGACCCAGGAGCAAACCCUCCGGCGGACAAGUGCACAUUGGCGCCACCUAGCGGCGGGAGCCUCCCAGGACAAGAAGAAAAGAGGCAACGUUUUCAAAAGUCGCCAGGCACGGGUUUCAGGCAUUCAUGCCUCAAAACACUCCUGUGAGGCAGAAGCAAUUAUUCUCGUCUUACAGAUAAGGAAACCGAGGCACAGAGAGGCCAAGCGACUUUCCCAAGGAUGUGUUAUGUGUUCGAGGCAAGAUUCCAACCCAGGCCCCCUGGUUCUGGAGUCCACAUCUGAAUCACACCCUGUGUUAACCAGUCUUUCAAACGCCAACCUAAUUUUGUGAUUUACACACCUGCUCCAUGCGUAUUCCUCCAACCCAGAGACCAUCCCCAUGCCUUUUCUACUCCUACCCCACACUAAGACCCUGAUAACCAGAGAAGUGACGCUUUGCACCCAAGAGGUAACAGGGUCCCUUGGACCAUUCUCUUGCCCUCCUCCCAACUUCUACAGCCUGGGUGAUCUUGAACCAGUGGGGCCCUCCCCUUCCCCCUAUCUGUUCCUGUGUGAGAUGGGGCAAAAUGAACAGUCAUGGUUUGCUAUGUGCUCUUAGCUCCUCACAUGCACUAGCUCUUAGAUACUCCUUGGAAAACUCUAUGAUGGGGUCCUCUGAUGACCUGAUUUUAAGGAUGAGACUCAGAAGCACAAAGAAGCGAAAAUACAUAACAGGAUCUGCC
RNAcentral lists this long non-coding RNA (1312 nucleotides) under Felis catus (domestic cat). RNAcentral describes it as "lncRNA (ENSFCAG00000047234.1)". Lineage: Eukaryota; Metazoa; Chordata; Mammalia; Carnivora; Felidae. The record is from RNAcentral.